UCAGUACCCGUCCACCCCACCUGCCGCCAAUUUCUCAGGUUCUGGUGGCAAGGCCUACCCUGGCAAUUCACAUGCCUUCCUUUCGGCCUCAGCUCGGCCCCGUGGUGCUUCACCAAGCUGCUGAAGCCAGUAGUUGCACAUCUACGAGCACGAGGAAUUCGGUGCAUUAUCUACCUGGACGACCUUCUACUGUUUUGCUGCGACAGGUCCAGACUGACUGAA
This is a non-coding RNA of Pelobates cultripes (western spadefoot toad), 222 nucleotides long. NCBI's taxonomy places the organism in Eukaryota, Metazoa, Chordata, Amphibia, Anura, Pelobatidae. The record is from the annotation of a GenBank genome assembly.